CACGUAGGGGGCGAGCGUUGUCCGGAUUUAUUGGGCGUAAAGAGCUCGUAGGCGGUUUCGUUAGUCGGGUGUGAAAUCCGGAGGCUCAACCUCCGGCCUGCAGUGGGUACGGGCAGACUAGAGUGCGGUAGGGGAGAUUGGAAUUCCUGGUGUAGCGGUGGAAUGCGCAGAUAUCAGGAGGAACACCGAUGGCGAAGGCAGAUCUCUGGGCCGUAACUGACGCUGAGGAGCGAAAGCAUGGGGAGCGAACAGG
RNAcentral lists this ribosomal RNA (253 nucleotides) under uncultured bacterium. Its description in RNAcentral is "partial 16S ribosomal RNA". It matches the Rfam family "Bacterial small subunit ribosomal RNA", at positions 524 to 776 of the family's 1533-position model. The record is from RNAcentral.